RNAcentral lists this ribosomal RNA (275 nucleotides) under uncultured bacterium. RNAcentral describes it as "partial 16S ribosomal RNA". It matches the Rfam family "Bacterial small subunit ribosomal RNA", at positions 897 to 1172 of the family's 1533-position model. The record is from RNAcentral.
AAACUCAAAGGAAUUGACGGGGGCCCGCACAAGCAGCGGAGCAUGUGGUUUAAUUCGAAGCAACGCGAAGAACCUUACCAGGUCUUGACAUCCAGUUAAAGCGGCAGAGAUGCCGUGUGCUUUCGGGCAAACUGAGACAGGUGGUGCAUGGUUGUCGUCAGCUCGUGUCGUGAGAUGUUGGGUUAAGUCCCGCAACGAGCGCAACCCUUAUUUUUAGUUACUAACGCGUGAAGGCGAGGACUCUAAAGAGACUGCCGGGGUCAACUCGGAGGAAG